GUCAGGGUGGCCGAGCGGUCUAAGGCGCCAGACUCAGGAUCUGGGGGCGGGUUCGAAUCCCACUCCUGACA
Molecule: non-coding RNA, 71 nt
Organism: Mobula hypostoma (lesser devil ray)
Lineage: Eukaryota; Metazoa; Chordata; Chondrichthyes; Myliobatiformes; Myliobatidae
Source: the annotation of a RefSeq genome assembly